AACGCGAAGAACCUUACCAGGGUUUGACAUCCCGCGAAUUUCUUCGAAAGAAGAGAGUGCCUUCGGGAACGCGGUGACAGGUGUUGCAUGGCCGUCGUCAGCUCGUGUCGUGAGAUGUUUGGUUAAGUCCAUCAACGAGCGCAACCCCUUUACUUAGUUGGAUUUUUCUAGGUAGACUGCCCCGGUAACGGGGAGGAAGGAGGGGAUGAUGUCAGGUCAGUAUUACCCUUACACCCUGGGCUAGAAACACGCUACAAUGGCCGGUACAAAGGGCUGCCAAGUCGCGAGACGGAGCAAAUCCCAUCAAAACCGGUCCCAGUUCGGAUUGCAGGCUGAAACUCGCCUGCAUGAAGCCGGAAUCGCUAGUAACGGUAGGUCAGCACACUACCGUGAAUACGUUCCCGGGCCUUGUACACACCGACUGUAC
RNAcentral lists this ribosomal RNA (427 nucleotides) under uncultured bacterium. Its description in RNAcentral is "bacterial SSU rRNA". It matches the Rfam family "Bacterial small subunit ribosomal RNA", at positions 958 to 1399 of the family's 1533-position model. The record is from RNAcentral.